GGCUUGAUAGCUCAACUGAUCAAGCACUGCACUGGUAUCGCAGAUGUCAUGGGUUUGAAACCCAUUCAAGCCU
This 73-nucleotide transfer RNA is filed under the name Acropora cervicornis. RNAcentral's name for it is "tRNA-Thr". It matches the Rfam family "tRNA". Rfam says of the family: Transfer RNA (tRNA) molecules are approximately 80 nucleotides in length. Their secondary structure includes four short double-helical elements and three loops (D, anti-codon, and T loops). Further hydrogen bonds mediate the characteristic L-shaped molecular structure. tRNAs have two regions of fundamental functional importance: the anti-codon, which is responsible for specific mRNA codon recognition, and the 3' end, to which the tRNAs corresponding amino acid is attached (by aminoacyl-tRNA synthetases). tRNAs cope with the degeneracy of the genetic code in two manners: having more than one tRNA (with a specific anti-codon) for a particular amino acid; and 'wobble' base-pairing, i.e. permitting non-standard base-pairing at the 3rd anti-codon position. The record is from RNAcentral. Lineage: Eukaryota; Metazoa; Cnidaria; Anthozoa; Scleractinia; Acroporidae.